AUUGAACGCUGGCGGCAGGCCUAACACAUGCAAGUCGAGCGGAGCGGCGGACGGGUGAGUAAUGCCUAGGAAUCUGCCUGGUAGCGGGGGAUAACGUCCGGCAACGGGCGCUAAUACCUCAUACAUUCAGUUGAGCCUAGGUCGGUUUAGCUAGUUGGUGGGGUAAGGGACUACCAAGGCGACGAUCCGUAACUGGUCUGAGAGGAUGAUCAGUCACACUGGAACUGAGACACGGUCCAGACGCCUACGGGAGGCAGCAGUGGGGAAUAUUGGACAAUGGGCGAAAGCCUGAUGCAGCCAUGCCGCGUGUGUGAAGAAGGUCUUCGGAUUGUAAAGCACUUUAAGUUGGGAGGCGUUACCAGCAGAAUAAGCACCGGCUAACUUCGUGCCAGCAGCCGCGGUAAUUC
This 407-nucleotide ribosomal RNA is filed under the name uncultured bacterium. Its description in RNAcentral is "partial 16S ribosomal RNA". It matches the Rfam family "Bacterial small subunit ribosomal RNA", at positions 30 to 526 of the family's 1533-position model. The record is from RNAcentral.